RNAcentral lists this ribosomal RNA (339 nucleotides) under uncultured Latescibacterota bacterium. RNAcentral's name for it is "bacterial SSU rRNA". It matches the Rfam family "Bacterial small subunit ribosomal RNA", at positions 28 to 351 of the family's 1533-position model. The record is from RNAcentral. Lineage: Bacteria; Pseudomonadati; Candidatus Latescibacterota.
GAUGAACGCUGGCGGCGUGGAUUAGGCAUGCAAGUCGAACGAGAAAGUAGUCUUCGGAUUGCGAGUACAGUGGCGGACGGGUGAGUAGCGCGUGGGAAACCUACCCUCGAGUGGGGAAUAACAACCCUAACGGGUUGCUAAUACCGCAUAACAUUGCAGGCCGCAUGGUCUGCACUCAAAGGUGGCCUCUACUUGUAAGCUGUCGCUUGAGGAAGGUCCCGCGUCCCAUUAGCUAGUUGGUGAGGUAACGGCUCACCAAGGCCACGACGGGUAGCUGGUCUGAGAGGAUGAUCAGCCACACUGGAACUGACACACGGUCCAGACUCCUACGGGAGGCAG